Molecule: long non-coding RNA, 351 nt
Filed under: Gallus gallus (chicken)
Lineage: Eukaryota; Metazoa; Chordata; Aves; Galliformes; Phasianidae
Source: RNAcentral
AACGGGGCGAGCUCGCACAGUAAGGGUAGCAGAUGCUUCCACUUUUCCAACUCGAUUCUCAGCAAUGCACGUGUAGGUGCCUUCAUCUGUGCUCAUAGCCUUCUUGAUGCGCAAAGUGUAGUCAUCUUUAAUGUCAUACCUUCCUCUUGGCAGGUCUGCGUCAUCCUUCUUCCAGCGGACGGUCGGCUGCGGGUCCCCCUGCACCUGGCACCGGAAAUCCACGGCCUCCUCCUCCAGCACCACCUGGUUGAUUGGUCUCCUGAGAAACGUGGGCCGCUCAAAGACAGUCAGCUCUGCUGGAUCACUGUCUCGUUCCCCCACCAUGUUGGUUCCAACGCAAGUGUACAUGCC